GUCCUCGUAGCUCAGCGGAUAGAGCACUUGGCUUCGAACCAAGGGGCCGCAGGUUCGAGUCCUGCCGAGGACA
Molecule: transfer RNA, 73 nt
Filed under: Candidatus Moraniibacteriota bacterium
Lineage: Bacteria; Candidatus Moraniibacteriota
Description: tRNA-Arg
Rfam family: tRNA
About the family: Transfer RNA (tRNA) molecules are approximately 80 nucleotides in length. Their secondary structure includes four short double-helical elements and three loops (D, anti-codon, and T loops).
Source: RNAcentral